GAGGAGGAACAAUAACCCGAUGUGCAAGGCUUGCAGCCCUGGGAAAGUUCAAUCAAGGACAGAAGAGAUCGAUGGUCCUUCCACGAUGGGGCACGGUGAGGAAGAUCAGCCACCUCUUCCAGGGGGUCUGUUGGACUACACAGAAAAUCAGCAGUCUCCAGCACCUCCAGGAGAAUGUACCCCUGAUGAAGUCGCGGCAAAAGACGAAAUGUGUUGGAUUAUCUGUUUCUGUUUGUGACCUCCAAUCUACGAAAAUAGGAGGAAAAUAUGGAUUGCUGUGAAAAAGGAUUACUGUGAAACAAUGGACAUUGUUACAUUUUAUGAAUUUAAAUAAAUAUAUGGAUCAAGUGGAACAUAUUCGACAUUUGUCAUUUUAAGAAUCUGGAUAUCACUUCUUGCCACCAGGCGGUAAUUGCUGAUGUUAAUGUGAAUCCAUUCGGAUUUUAAUAAUAUAGGGGCACCUAUUCACUAUAUAGGCUUGCAAAGGUGCGUCACUCAGACUGGAAUAACUGACGCUUAAAACUGUGGAGAAGUUAUCAACGUUUCAAUAUUUUAUAUAUUGUCAUCAGGAUCCAAAACACUUGAGGGUGGUUUUGCCAAAACCAAAACAUGAUGAUGAAUUAGAACCAAAACUAAAAACACAGGGCUCCAUACACCUCUCAUCUACAAAGGAAGAGGCUAGAAUGCAUACCCAUCUGAUAUCCCAUUUUAAAGCUAUUUAAUAAAAUCUGUCCAUUCCAUCUGAAAAUUCAGUUUUAUAAAAAUGUGAAUAUUAAAGACACAGGA
Pseudophryne corroboree (corroboree frog) is the source of this 786-nucleotide long non-coding RNA. RefSeq lists it as uncharacterized. NCBI's taxonomy places the organism in Eukaryota, Metazoa, Chordata, Amphibia, Anura, Myobatrachidae. The transcript is spliced from 3 exons. The record is from RefSeq and is a predicted model, not a curated record.